GCUCUGGCUUCUGGAUUCUUGUCACAGCGGCCCACUUCUGCUUGUAUGCUCUUGAGAUAGGAGUCAGUGGAGGCAGGAUCUGUCAAAUGCAUAGACACUGGGAGAAAUGGGAUCAGAAAUGCUUCAGUGGGAGCUGGGAAUGAAAAUUUAAUUGAGCUACUCUUACCCUCCUUAGGAGUCCAGGAGAGAAAACACGUGAGGAUUACUUAGGACUUCAGAGCCAGUUAACUUAGGAUUUCAGAGCCACAGUGUCUGUAAAAGAGACUUUUGUCAUGCCAUGCUUGCCUUGAACAGACUCUGGAGUCAAGCCUGUGACUGUCCUCAGAUCCUUCAUGGUGGGAAGGAAAUCUAAAAGAGAAGUAGCAUAGCCUGAGCUUCUCUUCUUGGGCAAGAGUUGGAGUCUCCUGACGUGUGAGCUGAAAAGACAAGGCUUUUUGCUGGGAAUAGGGUGUGUGCAGACUGAAAAGCACUGAGGAGGAACUGUGGCCAUGGCUGAUCCUGGGGGGUGCCCAAAGCAGCUCUGCAGGCGAGGUUAGUGCCUUUGCUCCUCUGUCAUCACCAGUCCCUGAGAGCAAUCACCACCCACCAACAGUUCCUCAAGAUAAGGCUGAGCCAGCUGGGAGAAGAAAUCCUUUGAUAUUUCCCUGCCUCACUGACUGCAUUUUUCACAGCUCACAUCUCAGAGAAGACCAGCAAAGAUGA
This 702-nucleotide long non-coding RNA is filed under the name Coturnix japonica (Japanese quail). RNAcentral's name for it is "lncRNA (ENSCJPG00005001947.1)". Lineage: Eukaryota; Metazoa; Chordata; Aves; Galliformes; Phasianidae. The record is from RNAcentral.